RNAcentral lists this ribosomal RNA (497 nucleotides) under uncultured bacterium. RNAcentral's name for it is "partial 16S ribosomal RNA". It matches the Rfam family "Bacterial small subunit ribosomal RNA", at positions 28 to 507 of the family's 1533-position model. The record is from RNAcentral.
GACGAACGCUGGCGGCGUGCCUAAUACAUGCAAGUUGAGCGAUGAAGAUUGGUGCUUGCACCAAUUUGAAGAGCAGCGAACGGGUGAGUAACGCGUGGGGAAUCUGCCUUUGAGCGGGGGACAACAUUUGGAAACGAACGCUAAUACCGCAUAAUAACUUUAAACAUAAGUUUUAAGUUUGAAAGAUGCAAUUGCAUCACUCAAAGAUGAUCCCGCGUUGUAUUAGCUAGUUGGUGAGGUAAAGGCUCACCAAGGCGAUGAUACAUAGCCGACCUGAGAGGGUGAUCGGCCACAUUGGGACUGAGACACGGCCCAAACUCCUACGGGAGGCAGCAGUAGGGAAUCUUCGGCAAUGGACGAAAGUCUGACCGAGCAACGCCGCGUGAGUGAAGAAGGUUUUCGGAUCGUAAAACUCUGUUGGUAGAGAAGAACGUUGGUGAGAGUGGAAAGCUCAUCAAGUGACGGUAACUACCCAGAAAGGGACGGCUAACUACGUG